This 512-nucleotide long non-coding RNA is filed under the name Fukomys damarensis (Damara mole-rat). Its description in RNAcentral is "lncRNA (ENSFDAG00000025388.1)". The record is from RNAcentral. Lineage: Eukaryota; Metazoa; Chordata; Mammalia; Rodentia; Bathyergidae.
CUGCGUGAUUAGAGGAAAUCAUUUUCAAAUCACUGUGGGUUUUCAUUUCUGCAUUUGAAGGCCAAGCUUUGGUGGAAUCUUAUUAACAAGAUGGCAAGGAUAAGGAGCAAAACAAUUUGACUAGAAUCUGCUACAAACAGCACAUGUUUUGAAAGAUUACUGAUGAUCCUGAACUCUGCCAUUGCUCGUGUUAUCUCCCUUGGAUUAACGGCUGUUGCACAUUUACCAGAGUCCUGCUAAUUCUUUGGGAUCCAGGUCAAACUCUUCUUAUUCUGAGAAGCCCUCCCAUACUCAUGGCCUCCCCUGCUCUUGAUUUCCUAUUAUACUGUUCAGGUAAUUCGCUUACCAUUUUAGGAAAUUUUAUGUUGUAUGGUGGAUUAUGAUUAAUAGUCUUUUUGUGAUUGUGAUUAAUAAUCUUUUUGUGAUUAUAUGCUGUUAUGGACUGAAUGCUUAUGUUCCCUCGAUCUUAAACUGAAGAGUGAAUCUUUAAUGAGGUGGUAUUUGGUGAUGGG